RNAcentral lists this unclassified non-coding RNA (250 nucleotides) under plant metagenome. RNAcentral's name for it is "partial contains small subunit ribosomal RNA, internal transcribed spacer 1, and 5.8S ribosomal RNA". The stretch from base 191 to 250 matches the Rfam family "5.8S ribosomal RNA", at positions 1 to 56 of the family's 154-position model. The record is from RNAcentral.
GUAGGUGAACCUGCGGAAGGAUCAUUACCUUUUGCUUAUAGCAUUCCCUAGGCCUAGCCUCUGGGUUUGUUGUGGCAUAAACCCUUGUCUACAUAUACCUUUGGUUCUCCUUUGGCAGGCUCAUGUCUGCCACAGGACCCACACAAACCUCUCUAUGGUAGCCUAUAAUUCUGAAUAUGAUAAUAAUUAUAACUUUCAACAAUGGAUCUCUUGGCUCUGGCAUCGAUGAAGAACGCAGCAUCUGACUGAC